CCUACGGGAGGCUGCAGUGAGGAAUAUUGGUCAAUGGACGAGAGUCUGAACCAGCCAAGUAGCGUGAAGGAUGACUGCCCUAUGGGUUGUAAACUUCUUUUAUAUAGGAAUAAAACAGGGUAUGCAUGCCUUCUUGUAUGUACCAUAUGAAUAAGGAUCGGCUAACUCCGUGCCAGCAGCCGCGGUAAUACGGAGGAUCCGAGCGUUAUCCGGAUUUAUUGGGUUUAAAGGGAGCGUAGGUGGGUUGUUAAGUCAGUUGUGAAAGUUUGCGGCUCAACCGUAAAAUUGCAAUUGAUACUGGCAGUCUUGAGUACAGUAGAGGUAGGCGGAAUUCGUGGUGUAGCGGUGAAAUGCUUAGAUAUCACGAAGAACUCCGAUUGCGAAGGCAGCUCACUGAACUGCAACUGACACUGAUGCUCGAAAGUGUGGGUAUCAAACAGGAUUAGAUACCCUAGUAGUC
Molecule: ribosomal RNA, 460 nt
Filed under: uncultured bacterium
Lineage: Bacteria
Description: partial 16S ribosomal RNA
Rfam family: Bacterial small subunit ribosomal RNA
Source: RNAcentral